This 497-nucleotide ribosomal RNA is filed under the name uncultured bacterium. RNAcentral describes it as "partial 16S ribosomal RNA". It matches the Rfam family "Bacterial small subunit ribosomal RNA", at positions 28 to 507 of the family's 1533-position model. The record is from RNAcentral.
GACGAACGCUGGCGGCGUGCCUAAUACAUGCAAGUUGAGCGCUGAGGGUUGGUCCUUGUACCAACUGGAUGAGCAGCGCACGGGUGAGUAACGCGUGGGGAAUCUGCCUUUGAGCGGGGGACAACAUUUGGAAACGAAUGCUAAUACCGCAUAAAAACUUUAAACACAAGUUUUAAGUUUGAAAGAUGCAAUUGCAUCACUCAAAGAUGAUCCCGCGUUGUAUUAGCUUGUUGGUGAGGUAAAGGCGCACCAAGGCGAUGAUACAUAGCCGAACUGAGAGGGUGGUCGGCCACAUUGGGACGGUGACACGGCCCAAACGCCUACGGGAGGCAGCAGGAGGGAAUCGUCGGCCAUGGACGAAAGUCUGACCGCGCAACGCCGCGGGAGGGAAGAAGGGUGUCGGAUCGUAAAAGUCGGUUGGUAGAGAAGAACGUGGGUGAGAGUGGAAAGCUCAUUAAGUGACGGUAACUACUCAGAAAGGGACGGCUAACUACGUG